GACGAACGCUGGCGGCGGGCUUAACACAUGCAAGUCGAACGGAAAGGCCCUGAUUUUGUGGGGUGCUCGAGUGGCGAACGGGUGAGUAACACGUGAGUAAACUGCCCUUGACUUUGGGAUAACUUCAGGAAACUGGGGUUAAUACCGGAAGGGUGCUCCUGCUGCAUGGUGGGGGUUGGAAAAUGUCGGCGGGUGGGGAUGGGGUGUCGGCUUGUCAGCUGGUUGGUGGGGUAGUGGCUUAUCAAGGGUUUGACGGGUAGGCGGCCGGAGAGGGUGACCGGCCACACUGGGAGGGACAGAGGGACGGGACUGCUGCGGUAGACAGGAGGGAGUAAUAUUGCUCGAAGGGCGGACGCAAGACGGAGCAAGCCAGCGCGCGUGAGGGCGGAAUUCGGGUUGUAUACCGCUUCUGCGUGUGAAGAGGAGAUUGUGACGUUAAUGGGUAAAGAAGCCCCGGCUAACUACGUG
Molecule: ribosomal RNA, 468 nt
Filed under: uncultured bacterium
Lineage: Bacteria
Description: partial 16S ribosomal RNA
Rfam family: Bacterial small subunit ribosomal RNA
Source: RNAcentral